Molecule: long non-coding RNA, 242 nt
Filed under: Pelobates cultripes (western spadefoot toad)
Lineage: Eukaryota; Metazoa; Chordata; Amphibia; Anura; Pelobatidae
Source: RNAcentral
CCCUCCCUAGCCUCUAUAACUAGAGGCUUUCGUGCAGUUUGUUCACUUAUUCCAGGACCGACCGCAGGGCCCAUUCGCAUGGAACCGCAUUCGGCUGUCUCAAUCAGUGCGGUCGGUCAUUUUAUUCCCUCCAUAAAUUUCCCGAACCCCUGGUCUGAUCUGGGUGAUUUUUGGAUAUGUUGUUCACCCAGAUCAGGGCUAUCAGGGGGUGUAGGAUUUAAAGGGGUACCCCUACGUUUAGG